GUGGGGAAUUUUGGACAAUGGGGGCAACCCUGAUCCAGCAAUGCCGCGUGCAGGAAGAAGGCCUUCGGGUUGUAAACUGCUUUUGUACGGAACGAAACGGUCCUGGUUAAUACCUGGGGCUAAUGACGGUACCGUAAGAAUAAGCACCGGCUAACUACGUGCCAGCAGCCGCGGUAAUACGUAGGGUGCAAGCGUUAAUCGGAAUUACUGGGCGUAAAGCGUGCGCAGGCGGUUUUGUAAGACAGGCGUGAAAUCCCCGGGCUCAACCUGGGAAUGGCGCUUGUGACUGCAAGGCUGGAGUGCGGCAGAGGGGGAUGGAAUUCCGCGUGUAGCAGUGAAAUGCGUAGAUAUGCGGAGGAACACCGAUGGCGAAGGCAAUCCCCUGGGCCUGCACUGACGCUCAUGCACGAAAGCGUGGGGAGCAAACAGGAUUAGAUACCCUUGUAGUCC
Molecule: ribosomal RNA, 450 nt
Filed under: uncultured bacterium
Lineage: Bacteria
Description: partial 16S ribosomal RNA
Rfam family: Bacterial small subunit ribosomal RNA
Source: RNAcentral